GACGAACCGUGCGAACGUUGUUCGGAUUCACUGGGCUUAAAGGGCGCGUAGGCGGGCGACCAAGUCAGGGGUGAAAUCUUUCGGCCCAACCGGAAAAGUGCCCCUGAUACUGGCCGCCUCGAGGGGGGUAGGGGCAUGCGGAACUUCCGGUGGAGCGGUGAAAUGCGUAGAUAUCGGAAGGAACGCCGGUGGCGAAAGCGGCGCGCUGGACCACUACUGACGCUGAGGAACGAAAGCUAGGGGAGCAAACAGG
Molecule: ribosomal RNA, 253 nt
Filed under: uncultured bacterium
Lineage: Bacteria
Description: partial 16S ribosomal RNA
Rfam family: Bacterial small subunit ribosomal RNA
Source: RNAcentral